This 433-nucleotide ribosomal RNA is filed under the name uncultured bacterium. RNAcentral describes it as "partial 16S ribosomal RNA". It matches the Rfam family "Bacterial small subunit ribosomal RNA", at positions 29 to 507 of the family's 1533-position model. The record is from RNAcentral.
AACGAACGCUGGCGGCAUGCCUAACACAUGCAAGUCGAACGAGACCUUCGGGUCUAGUGGCGCACGGGUGCGUAACGCGUGGGAACCUGCCCUUAGGUUCGGAAUAACUCCCCGAAAGGGGUGCUAAUACCGGAUAAUGUCUUCGGACCAAAGAUUUAUCGCCUUUGGAUGGGCCCGCGUUGGAUUAGCUAGUUGGUAGGGUAAAGGCCUACCAAGGCGAGGCUCCAUAGCUGGUCUGAGAGGAUGCGCAGCCACACUGGGACUGAGACACGGCCCAGACUCUUGCGGGAGGCAGCAGAGGGGAAUAUUGGACAAUGGGCUAAAGCCUGAUCCAGCAAUGCCGCGUGAGUGAUGAAGGCCUUAGGGAUGUAAAGCACUUUUACCCGGGAUGAUAAUGACAGUACCGGGAGAAUAAGCUCCGGCUAACUCCGUG